Molecule: ribosomal RNA, 502 nt
Filed under: Zeugodacus neopallescentis
Lineage: Eukaryota; Metazoa; Arthropoda; Insecta; Diptera; Tephritidae
Description: partial large subunit ribosomal RNA
Source: RNAcentral
CCUGUUUAACAAAAACAUGUCUUUUUGAGUUAUUUUUAAAGUCUGACCUGCCCACUGAGUAUUUUAAAUGGCCGCAGUAUACUAACUGUGCAAAGGUAGCAUAAUCAUUAGUCUUUUAAUUGAAGGCUGGUAUGAACGGUUGGACGAGGUAUAAGCUGUUUCAUAUAAAAUUAUAUUAGAAUUUUAUAUUUUAGUCAAAAAGCUAAAAUAUCAUUAAAAGACGAGAAGACCCUAUAAAUCUUUAUAUUUUGUUUUAUUUAAUUUUUUUGGGUUUAUUUUAUUUUUAUAAUAUUGAAUAUUUKGUUGGGGUGAUGUUAAAAUUUAAUGAACUUUUAAUUAUUUAAAAUCAUUAAUUUAUGAGUUAUUGAUCCAUUAGUAUUGAUUAUAAGAUUAAGUUACUUUAGGGAUAACAGCGUAAUUUUUUUGGAGAGUUCAUAUCGAUAAAAAAGUUUGCGACCUCSAUGUUGGAUUAAGAUAUAUUUUUAGGUGUAGCUGCUUAAAU